This 2902-nucleotide ribosomal RNA is filed under the name Pseudomonas hygromyciniae. Its description in RNAcentral is "Pseudomonas sp. SDM007 23S ribosomal RNA". It matches the Rfam family "Bacterial large subunit ribosomal RNA". The record is from RNAcentral. Lineage: Bacteria; Pseudomonadati; Pseudomonadota; Gammaproteobacteria; Pseudomonadales; Pseudomonadaceae.
GGUCAAGUGAAGAAGCGCAUACGGUGGAUGCCUUGGCAGUCAGAGGCGAUGAAAGACGUGGUAGCCUGCGAAAAGCUUCGGGGAGUCGGCAAACAGACUUUGAUCCGGAGAUGUCUGAAUGGGGGAACCCAGCCAUCAUAAGAUGGUUAUCUUACGCUGAAUACAUAGGCGUAAGAGGCGAACCAGGGGAACUGAAACAUCUAAGUACCCUGAGGAAAAGAAAUCAACCGAGAUUCCCUUAGUAGUGGCGAGCGAACGGGGACUAGCCCUUAAGUGGCUUUGAGAUUAGCGGAACGCUCUGGAAAGUGCGGCCAUAGUGGGUGAUAGCCCUGUACGCGAAAAUCUCUUAGUCAUGAAAUCGAGUAGGACGGAGCACGAGAAACUUUGUCUGAAUAUGGGGGGGGGGACCAUCCUCCAAGGCUAAAUACUACUGACUGACCGAUAGUGAACUAGUACCGUGAGGGAAAGGCGAAAAGAACCCCGGAGAGGGGAGUGAAAUAGAUCCUGAAACCGUAUGCGUACAAGCAGUGGGAGCCCACUUUGUUGGGUGACUGCGUACCUUUUGUAUAAUGGGUCAGCGACUUAUUUUCAGUGGCGAGCUUAACCGAAUAGGGGAGGCGUAGCGAAAGCGAGUCUUAAUAGGGCGUCUAGUCGCUGGGAAUAGACCCGAAACCGGGCGAUCUAUCCAUGGGCAGGUUGAAGGUUGGGUAACACUAACUGGAGGACCGAACCGACUACCGUUGAAAAGUUAGCGGAUGACCUGUGGAUCGGAGUGAAAGGCUAAUCAAGCUCGGAGAUAGCUGGUUCUCCUCGAAAGCUAUUUAGGUAGCGCCUCAUGUAUCACUGUAGGGGGGUAGAGCACUGUUUCGGCUAGGGGGUCAUCCCGACUUACCAAACCGAUGCAAACUCCGAAUACCUACAAGUGCCGAGCAUGGGAGACACACGGCGGGUGCUAACGUCCGUCGUGAAAAGGGAAACAACCCAGACCGUCAGCUAAGGUCCCAAAGUUAUGGUUAAGUGGGAAACGAUGUGGGAAGGCUUAGACAGCUAGGAGGUUGGCUUAGAAGCAGCCACCCUUUAAAGAAAGCGUAAUAGCUCACUAGUCGAGUCGGCCUGCGCGGAAGAUGUAACGGGGCUCAAACCAUACACCGAAGCUACGGGUAUCAUCUUCGGAUGAUGCGGUAGAGGAGCGUUCUGUAAGCCUGUGAAGGUGAGUUGAGAAGCUUGCUGGAGGUAUCAGAAGUGCGAAUGCUGACAUGAGUAACGACAAUGGGUGUGAAAAACACCCACGCCGAAAGACCAAGGUUUCCUGCGCAACGUUAAUCGACGCAGGGUUAGUCGGUCCCUAAGGCGAGGCUGAAAAGCGUAGUCGAUGGAAAACAGGUUAAUAUUCCUGUACUUCUGGUUAUUGCGAUGGAGGGACGGAGAAGGCUAGGCCAGCUUGGCGUUGGUUGUCCAAGUUUAAGGUGGUAGGCUGGAAUCUUAGGUAAAUCCGGGAUUCUAAGGCCGAGAGCUGAUGACGAGUUACCCUUUGGGUGACGAAGUGGUUGAUGCCAUGCUUCCAAGAAAAGCUUCUAAGCUUCAGGUAACCAGGAACCGUACCCCAAACCGACACAGGUGGUUGGGUAGAGAAUACCAAGGCGCUUGAGAGAACUCGGGUGAAGGAACUAGGCAAAAUGGCACCGUAACUUCGGGAGAAGGUGCGCCGGUGAGGGUGAAGGACUUGCUCCGUAAGCUCAUGCCGGUCGAAGAUACCAGGCCGCUGCGACUGUUUAUUAAAAACACAGCACUCUGCAAACACGAAAGUGGACGUAUAGGGUGUGACGCCUGCCCGGUGCCGGAAGGUUAAUUGAUGGGGUUAGCUAACGCGAAGCUCUUGAUCGAAGCCCCGGUAAACGGCGGCCGUAACUAUAACGGUCCUAAGGUAGCGAAAUUCCUUGUCGGGUAAGUUCCGACCUGCACGAAUGGCGUAACGAUGGCGGCGCUGUCUCCACCCGAGACUCAGUGAAAUUGAAAUCGCUGUGAAGAUGCAGUGUAUCCGCGGCUAGACGGAAAGACCCCGUGAACCUUUACUAUAGCUUUGCACUGGACUUUGAAUUUGCUUGUGUAGGAUAGGUGGGAGGCUUUGAAGCGUGGACGCCAGUUCGCGUGGAGCCAACCUUGAAAUACCACCCUGGCAACUUUGAGGUUCUAACUCAGGUCCGUUAUCCGGAUCGAGGACAGUGUAUGGUGGGUAGUUUGACUGGGGCGGUCUCCUCCUAAAGAGUAACGGAGGAGUACGAAGGUGCGCUCAGACCGGUCGGAAAUCGGUCGUAGAGUAUAAAGGCAAAAGCGCGCUUGACUGCGAGACAGACACGUCGAGCAGGUACGAAAAGUAGGUCUUAGUGAUCCGGUGGUUCUGUAUGGAAGGGCCAUCGCUCAACGGAUAAAAAGGUACUCCGGGGGAUAACAGGCUGAUACCGCCCAAGAGUUCAUAUCGACGGCGGUGUUUGGCACCUCGAUGUCGGCUCAUCACAUCCUGGGGCUGAAGCCGGUCCCAAGGGUAUGGCUGUUCGCCAUUUAAAGUGGUACGCGAGCUGGGUUUAGAACGUCGUGAGACAGUUCGGUCCCUAUCUGCCGUGGACGUUUGAGAUUUGAGAGGGGCUGCUCCUAGUACGAGAGGACCGGAGUGGACGAACCUCUGGUGUUCCGGUUGUCACGCCAGUGGCAUUGCCGGGUAGCUAUGUUCGGAAUAGAUAACCGCUGAAAGCAUCUAAGCGGGAAACUAGCCUCAAGAUGAGAUCUCACUGGAACCUUGAGUUCCCUGAAGGGCCGUCGAAGACUACGACGUUGAUAGGUUGGGUGUGUAAGCGCUGUGAGGCGUUGAGCUAACCAAUACUAAUUGCCCGUGAGGCUUGACCAU